This 468-nucleotide ribosomal RNA is filed under the name uncultured bacterium. Its description in RNAcentral is "partial 16S ribosomal RNA". It matches the Rfam family "Bacterial small subunit ribosomal RNA", at positions 28 to 507 of the family's 1533-position model. The record is from RNAcentral.
GACGAACGCUGGCGGCGUGCUUAACACAUGCAAGUCGAACGGAAAGGCCCUGCUUUUGUGGGGUGCUCGAGUGGCGAACGGGUGAGUAACACGUGAGUAACCUGCCCUUGACUUUGGGAUAACUUCAGGAAACUGGGGCUAAUACCGGAUAGGAGCUCCUGCUGCAUGGUGGGGGUUGGAAAGUUUCGGCGGUUGGGGAUGGACUCGCGGCUUAUCAGCUUGUUGGUGGGGUAGUGGCUUACCAAGGCUUUGACGGGUAGCCGGCCUGAGAGGGUGACUGGCCACAUUGGGACUGAGAUACGGCCCAGACUCCUACGGGAGGCAGCAGUGGGGAAUAUUGCACAAUGGGCGGAAGCCUGAUGCAGCAACGCUGCGUGCGGGAUGACGGCCUUCGGGUUGUAAACCGCUUUCGCCUGUGACGAAGCGUGAGUGACGGUAAUGGGUAAAGAAGCACCGGCUAACUACGUG